UGGCGAACGGGUGAGUAACACGUGGGCAAUCUGCCCUGCACUCUGGGACAAGCCCUGGAAACGGGGUCUAAUACCGGAUGACAUCCUCUCUCGCAUGGGAGAGGGUUGAAAGCUCCGGCGGUGCAGGAUGAGCCCGCGGCCUAUCAGCUAGUUGGUGAGGUAGAAGCUCACCAAGGCGACGACGGGUAGCCGGCCUGAGAGGGCGACCGGCCACACUGGGACUGAGACACGGCCCAGACUCCUACGGGAGGCAGCAGUGGGGAAUAUUGCACAAUGGGCGAAAGCCUGAUGCAGCGACGCCGCGUGAGGGAUGACGGCCUUCGGGUUGUAAACCUCUUUCAGCAGGGAAGAAGCGAAAGUGACGGUACCUGCAGAAGAAGCGCCGGCUAACUACGUGCCAGCAGCCGCGGUAAUACGUAGGGCGCAAGCGUUGUCCGGAAUUAUUGGGCGUAAAGAGCUCGUAGGCGGCUUGUCACGUCGGUUGUGAAAGCCCGGGGCUUAACCCCGGGUCUGCAGUCGAUACGGGCAGGCUAGAGUGUGGUAGGGGAGAUCGGAAUUCCUGGUGUAGCGGUGAAAUGCGCAGAUAUCAGGAGGAACACCGGUGGCGAAGGCGGAUCUCUGGGGCCAUUACUGACGCUGAAGGAGCGAAAGCGUGAGGGAGGCGAACAGGAUUAGAUACCCUGGGUAGUCCACGCCGUAAACGGUGGGAACUAGGUGUUGGGCACAUUCCAC
This 732-nucleotide ribosomal RNA is filed under the name Streptomyces sp. C1(2009). RNAcentral's name for it is "bacterial SSU rRNA". It matches the Rfam family "Bacterial small subunit ribosomal RNA", at positions 96 to 836 of the family's 1533-position model. The record is from RNAcentral. Lineage: Bacteria; Bacillati; Actinomycetota; Actinomycetes; Kitasatosporales; Streptomycetaceae.